This 403-nucleotide RNase P RNA is filed under the name bacterium. RNAcentral describes it as "RNase P RNA component class A". It matches the Rfam family "Bacterial RNase P class A". Rfam says of the family: Ribonuclease P (RNase P) is a ubiquitous endoribonuclease, found in archaea, bacteria and eukarya as well as chloroplasts and mitochondria. The record is from RNAcentral.
CCGGUAAGUCGGGUGAUUACUGGACGCAUAAGAAAUUGUGCGUCUGGAGGAAAGUCCGAACUCUUACCCCGCGUAGCUCGCAAGAGCGAAGUGGGGUUAAAAUGGUAGUGGGUAACGCCCGUCCGGCGCAAGCCGAGAGAUGCGAACAGAGACGAGUCCCCGCUUAGGCGGGGGGUGAAACGGUCCCGACGUUAAGUCGGGAUCCCGACCUCCGACGCAAGGUCGGAGCGUCGGGGCUAAAUUCUUACCUAAGAGCAAGAGCAAACCGGAGGUUUCGGGAUUCAUCUUGGAACUUUCGUUAAAAGUAGCUCGCAUGACCCCGAGAGUAAUUGAGGGGCUAGAUAGAUUAUCACCAUCCGCCGAUGAGGCGGAACAGAAUUCGGCUUACAGACUUGCCGGGACA